GAUGAACGCUGGCGGCGUGCCUAAUACAUGCAAGUCGAGCGAAUGGAUUAAGAGCUUGCUCUUAUGAAGUUAGCGGCGGACGGGUGAGUAACACGUGGGUAACCUGCCCAUAAGACUAGGAUAACUCCGGGAAACCGGGGCUAAUACCGGAUAACAUUUUGAACCGCAUGGUUCGAAAUUGAAAGGCGGCUUCGGCUGUCACUUAUGGAUUGACCCGCGUCGCAUUAGCUAGGUGGUGAGGUAACGGCUCACCAAGGCAACGAUGCGUAGCCGACCUGAGAGGGUGAUCGGCCACACUGGGACUGAGACACGGCCCAGACUCCUACGGGAGGCAGCAGUAGGAAUCUUCCGCAAUGGACGAAAGUCUGACGGAGCAACGCCGCGUGAGUGAUGAAGGCUUUCGGGUCGUAAAACUCUGUUGUUAGGGAAGAACAAGUGCUAGUUGAAUAAGCUGGCACCUUGACGGUACCUAACCAGAAAGCCACGGCUAACUACGUGCCAGCCGCCGCCGUAA
This 514-nucleotide ribosomal RNA is filed under the name uncultured bacterium. RNAcentral's name for it is "partial 16S ribosomal RNA". It matches the Rfam family "Bacterial small subunit ribosomal RNA", at positions 28 to 523 of the family's 1533-position model. The record is from RNAcentral.